GACGAACGCUGGCGGCGUGCUUAACACAUGCAAGUCGAACGGAAAGGCCCUGCUUUUGUGGGUUGCUCGAGUGGCGAACGGGUGAGUAACACGUGAGUAACCUGCCCUUGACUUUGGGAUAACUUCAGGAAACUGGGGCUAAUACCGGAUAGGAGCUCCUGCUGCAUGGUGGGGGUUGGAAAGUUUCGGCGGUUGGGGAUGGACUCGCGGCUUAUCAGCUUGUUGGUGGGGUAGUGGCUUACCAAGGCUUUGACGGGUAGCCGGCCUGAGAGGGUGACCGGCGACAUGGGGACUGAGAUACGGCCCAGACUCCUACGGGAGGCAGCAGUGGGGAAUAUUGCACAAUGGGCGGAAGCCUGAUGCAGCAACGCCGCGUGCGGGAUGACGGCCUUCGGGUUGUAAACCGCUUUCGCCUGUGACGAAGCGUGAGUGACGGUAAUGGGUAAAGAAGCACCGGCUAACUACGUG
This 468-nucleotide ribosomal RNA is filed under the name uncultured bacterium. Its description in RNAcentral is "partial 16S ribosomal RNA". It matches the Rfam family "Bacterial small subunit ribosomal RNA", at positions 28 to 507 of the family's 1533-position model. The record is from RNAcentral.